UACUGAAUGUCUUUUUGCAAAUUGA
This 25-nucleotide microRNA is filed under the name Schmidtea mediterranea. Its description in RNAcentral is "sme-miR-2175". Lineage: Eukaryota; Metazoa; Platyhelminthes; Tricladida; Dugesiidae. The record is from miRBase by way of RNAcentral.